GACGAACGCUGGCGGCGUGCUUAACACAUGCAAGUUGAACGGGUCAUAUAUGAAGGGUAACCGGAGUGUAUGGCUAGUGGCGAACGGGUGAGUAAUGCAUGAGAACGUAUCCUCAAGAGGGGGACAACAUUGGGAAACCGAUGCUAAUACCCCAUAAGCCGGGAGGUAAAAGGAGCAAUCCGCUUGAGGAGCGGCUCAUGUCCUAUCAGCUGGUUGGUGGGGUAACGGCUCACCAAGGCGAAGACGGGUAGCCGGCCUGAGAGGGUGAACGGCCACACUGGAACUGAGAGACGGUCCAGACUCCUACGGGAGGCAGCAGUGGGGAAUAUUGGGCAAUGGGGGAAACCCUGACCCAGCGACGCCGCGUGAGGGAAGAAGGCCUUAGGGUCGUAAACCUCUGUUGUGUGGGAAGAAGAGCGUGACGGUACCACACGAGGAAGUCCCGGCCAACUACGUGCCAGCCGCCGCGGUAA
Molecule: ribosomal RNA, 473 nt
Filed under: uncultured bacterium
Lineage: Bacteria
Description: partial 16S ribosomal RNA
Rfam family: Bacterial small subunit ribosomal RNA
Source: RNAcentral